UACGAAGGGUGCAAGCGUUACUCGGAAUUACUGGGCGUAAAGCGUGCGUAGGCGGUUUGUUAAGUCUGAUGUGAAAUCCCCGGGCUCAACCUGGGACGUGCAUUGGAAACUGGCGAUCUAGAGUACGGUAGAGGGUGGUGGAAUUCCAUGUGUAGCGGUGAAAUGCGUAGAUAUAUGGAGGAAUACCGGUGGCGAAGGCGGCCACCUGGACCAGUACUGACGCUGAGGCACGAAAGCGUGGGGAGCAAACAGG
This 253-nucleotide ribosomal RNA is filed under the name uncultured bacterium. Its description in RNAcentral is "partial 16S ribosomal RNA". It matches the Rfam family "Bacterial small subunit ribosomal RNA", at positions 524 to 776 of the family's 1533-position model. The record is from RNAcentral.